This 253-nucleotide ribosomal RNA is filed under the name uncultured bacterium. RNAcentral describes it as "partial 16S ribosomal RNA". It matches the Rfam family "Bacterial small subunit ribosomal RNA", at positions 524 to 776 of the family's 1533-position model. The record is from RNAcentral.
UACGUAGGGUGCAAGCGUUAAUCGGAAUUACUGGGCGUAAAGCGUGCGCAGGCGGUCUUGUAAGUCUGUCGUGAAAUCCCCGGGCUCAACCUGGGAAUGGCGAUGGAGACUGCAAGGCUAGAGUUUGGCAGAGGGGGGUAGAAUUCCACGUGUAGCAGUGAAAUGCGUAGAGAUGUGGAGGAACACCGAUGGCGAAGGCAGCCCCCUGGGUCAAAACUGACGCUCAUGCACGAAAGCGUGGGGAGCAAACAGG